Molecule: long non-coding RNA, 843 nt
Filed under: Lotus japonicus
Lineage: Eukaryota; Viridiplantae; Streptophyta; Magnoliopsida; Fabales; Fabaceae
Description: long non-coding RNA (LJAP_LNC001464)
Source: RNAcentral
ACAGAAUAAAAAUUUUAAGGAACACAUUUGGAUUUUGGAAAAAAUACUAGCUUAUAUACCAGAACUCACAUUGAAGCGACUGCUUAAACCGUUACUAAGAUAUAUGAAAAUAAAAUUGUGAAUGAAAAAUUAGCAUCCAUAACCAUAACCACCUUGCUUAUGAUGCAAAAACCCGAACAGAUAAAUAAUUUGGUAAUCAAGGAUUUUUAAGGUCAAGAAACUUCAUUCAUCAAACAUGAUACACUAAAUAAUAUACAAUGCUAAUGAUUAUAGAGGCCUUCCCAUAAUCUUCACACAAAACAAAUACUAAAACAAAGAAGAAAGGUCAUCACACAACUAUCAAAAGAGUGGGAAAACAAUCAGCAAGAUGUAAACAAAAUCCCCAAAUUCUGAUAUCAACUCAAACUAGCUCAUAAUGAUACACUAAAUUAACUACUGAUCAGACAAAGAGUCACUUCCAUUUUGCUGUUUUUGGUGUAAAUUUGAAAUACAAUCAGUUUAAGAUUAAUAACCAAAAUCAUUGCAAGUUCCAAACACCCAAAUGAAAAAAGAUUCAAAAUUUAUUGGCCAAACCAAUCCCCAGCAUCUACAAACCCUGAUUCCCAUUUCCCAAAUCACCUAAAACAAUGUGUGAGAAAAGAGGAUGAAGAAGAAGUGGUCAUUGAAAAUUGAACCUUUGAUUGUGAAGAAACUCACCUGAAUUUGGGAAGAACAAGGUGAAGGGUCACAGUGGCAGCGCGGAAGAGCACAAUUGAGAUUGAGACUCUGGAAGAAACAGUGUGAGAAUUAAAGAGAUGAGAAGAACGAAAGAGUCUUCAAAACGCACCGUUUUGGUUUUUUUUU